UUGGUUGUUACAUCUAACUCAUUCGCUGCAGCUUCAUUACCAUUGCUAAUGCCUUCCCUUUUCCACUACUACCAUUCUGCUUCGGGUUUUGCAUACAUUACCGGGCGGAGGAGCAGCAGCAAACCGGCGGCGGGACCAGGAGAAUCGGGUACCCGGCAGUCGCGCCGAGGCAGGCCCGCCGGCCGGUCGUCUUUUCUUCAAGAAGUUGGAGAUAGGGUUUUUUUCCCCGUGUUGCGUGUUCCUUUCUGGAAGAUGGGUUUCGUGUUUGAUUAUAUAUGUGACAAUUGACUGGUAUUGUUGAAUGUGCGUUGUUGAAAGACCUGAGGAAGACAGGAAAAUUUAAAUAAUGUAUCAUAAUCAAUACUCAGUAUGCCAAUUAGAAUAAAGGAAUAUUCAAACCAGAUAAAUAUUUUAGGUUGUUUUUGCCCUUCAUUACCGGUAAUGAAGAUAAAACCCCAGAAGCCAAAGAUGAUAGGCGUCUAACGAGAUUUUGAAAAAAGCUUGUGAAGUUGCCCAGCUGAAAGAGGUGCUUUAUUUCUGAAAAUUUAUUGAUAAGAUAAAUAAAUACAUUAUUUGUGUGACUUAAAACUUAAAAAAUAUUUUCUUAUGAAUGUUGUACUAAAGUGUUUUUAUUGUAA
RNA transcript from Parasteatoda tepidariorum (common house spider), 638 nucleotides. It is a transcript of the gene named POU domain, class 3, transcription factor 3-A, with no coding region annotated. Lineage: Eukaryota; Metazoa; Arthropoda; Arachnida; Araneae; Theridiidae. The record is from RefSeq and is a predicted model, not a curated record.